UGGGAACGGAAAAAAAUAAAUAUGACUCAAAUAAAACAGAUAAUUUGUCUAUGCACCAGAAAUUUGAUCAAUUAAUUGAUGAUUAUUUUCCCGAUUUAAAAGACGAAAAAGAAGAGAAAAUAGAAAGAUGUCCAAAAACGGGUGAUUAUGUAUUUAAGAAAAUAAAUAGGGACAAAGAAGAUUAUGUGAGAAUAUAUGAAAGUGACGGUCCUCCUAUAUUUACCGAUUUGGUGGAAAAUGAAUCUAAAAUUGGAACAGUACAUAUUACAAAUCCUUUGCCUAAAAUUGAAAGAAAAAAUGAGUUAAAGAAAGAUUACUUAGAGUGGCUAAAAAUGGAGAGAUUGAUGAAACCCAAUGAAAGAAGAGAAGAAUAUGAACUAAUGCAAAAUAAAUAUUUAGAAACUAUAAAAUUAUCAAACGAAAUAAAACAAGAUAUUAAACUGGCCAGAGUAAUUAAAUCACAUUAUCCUAGAGGAAUAGUGUUGAUUCUGUAUAUAAUGAAAACACUGUGUUAUAUAAAGAUAAGUAUGAAGAAAUUAAAAAUAAAGAAAAAUAUAAAAAUAAAAUAUCUCAAGAACGAAGGGAAGGUAAUUUUGACUAUUAUAAAUCUGCAUAUUCUUUUUAAAAUAAAAAAGUACCAUAGAUAUUAUUUAAUUGUGUUUCUUCUUUUUUUUUUAAUUACAUAUAUUUUUUUAAUUAUAUAUAUAUAUAUAUAUAUAUUUUUUUAGCGCUUCAAAAACAAAAUAACAGAAAUGGUGAUAUACUAGCUUUUGAUCCUACUAGUAAAACGUAAAUCCCCAACUAAACCGUUACUGAUGAAUGUUUUUUUUUUUCUUUUUUUUUUUUUUAAUAUUAACAAAAGAUAUGGAAAUAUAUUGUGCAUACAUCUAUGUGUAAUUUACGUAUUUUACUACAUCCAUCAAUAUGAUUUUAUAAAAAAGAGUGUACAUUUAUAAAUUUUUUAUUAUUUGUUUAACAAUAAUUGGACAAACUAUAUAUUGUGAAUUUUUUUAAAUUAUUUGAUUUUAUUUUUAAUACUGCGUUUGUUUAUAUAUUUUUAUAUUAUUUCGUUUAUCAAAUUAAACAUUACAAGUAAGCAAUUAUGGAAAAUAUAUAUAUAUAUAUGAAUAAAACACAAAAAAAAAAAAAAAAAAAGUUAUUU
RNAcentral lists this long non-coding RNA (1162 nucleotides) under Piliocolobus tephrosceles (Ugandan red Colobus). Its description in RNAcentral is "lncRNA (ENSPTEG00000014231.1)". Lineage: Eukaryota; Metazoa; Chordata; Mammalia; Primates; Cercopithecidae. The record is from RNAcentral.